RNAcentral lists this ribosomal RNA (484 nucleotides) under uncultured bacterium. Its description in RNAcentral is "partial 16S ribosomal RNA". It matches the Rfam family "Bacterial small subunit ribosomal RNA", at positions 30 to 507 of the family's 1533-position model. The record is from RNAcentral.
AUUGAACGCUGGCGGCAGGCCUAACACAUGCAAGUCGAGCGGAUGAAGGGAGCUUGCUCCUGGAUUCAGCGGCGGACGGGUGAGUAAUGCCUAGGAAUCUGCCUGGUAGUGGGGGAUAACGUCCGGAAGCGGGCGCUAAUACCGCAUACGUCCUGAGGGAGAAAGUGGGGGAUCUUCGGACCUCACGCUAUCAGAUGAGCCUAGGUCGGAUUAGCUAGUUGGUGGGGUAAAGGCCUACCAAGGCGACGAUCCGUAACUGGUCUGAGAGGAUGAUCAGUCACACUGGAACUGAGACACGGUCCAGACUCCUACGGGAGGCAGCAGUGGGGAAUAUUGGACAAUGGGCGAAAGCCUGAUCCAGCCAUGCCGCGUGUGUGAAGAAGGUCUUCGGAUUGUAAAGCACUUUAAGUUUGGAGGAAGGGCAGUAAGUUAAUACCUUGCUGUUUUGACGUUACCAACAGAAUAAGCACCGGCUAACUUCGUG